RNAcentral lists this long non-coding RNA (408 nucleotides) under Vulpes vulpes (red fox). RNAcentral describes it as "lncRNA (ENSVVUG00000000386.1)". Lineage: Eukaryota; Metazoa; Chordata; Mammalia; Carnivora; Canidae. The record is from RNAcentral.
CGUAACUCUCCCUGCCAUAGACACAGAACUAGGAGGAACGGGAAAUUUCAAAGGAUAUACCUUUGAAUUAACCUUAUGGGAGCGUUUGACCUCUUGCACGUUGGCUAACUACCAUGAAAAGAGCGAGCCCCAAGCAACCACUGGUGUCAGAACAAGAGACCUCAACCCGACCUGCCACUUGGAGGAGAGCCGCCUCAGCCAGCUCACACACCGAGCGAGUGCCGGCCGAAUCAAACCAGACCUUUUGAGAGAAGUCAUCUUCGUUGGCUUUGCAUAAAUACCCUUGUAUUCUCAGAAGUGGAUGCGAAGAUUCAAAGAAAAGAAUCUCUGUUAAAAUGCAUUUCUGAAAGCAUGUAUAAUUCACAACGUCUGCAUCAAGGAGCAUUUUUAUCACCUCAGCUUCUCUAA